UACGUAGGGGGCGAGCGUUACCCGGAUUCAUUGGGCGUAAAGCGCGCGCAGGCGGCUCGUCAAGCGGGACCUCUAAUCCCGGGGCUCAACCCCGGGCCGGGUCCCGAACUGGAGGGCUCGGGUGCGGUAGAGGAGAGCGGAAUUCCCGGUGUAGCGGUGGAAUGCGCAGAUAUCGGGGGGAACACCGAUGGCGAAGGCAGCUCUCUGGGCCGUAACCGACGCUGAGGCGCGAAAGCCGGGGGAGCGAACA
Molecule: ribosomal RNA, 250 nt
Filed under: uncultured prokaryote
Description: partial 16S ribosomal RNA
Rfam family: Bacterial small subunit ribosomal RNA
Source: RNAcentral